UACGAAUUUCACCUCUACACUCGGAAUUACUGGGCGUAAAGCGCGCGUAGGUGGUUCAGUAAGUUGGAAGUGAAAUCCCCGGGCUCAACCUGGGAACUGCUUUCAAAACUGCUGAGCUAGAGUACGGUAGAGGGUGGUGGAAUUUCCUGUGUAGCGGUGAAAUGCGUAGAUAUAGGAAGGAACACCAGUGGCGAAGGCGACCACCUGGACUGAUACUGACACUGAGGUGCGAAAGCGUGGGGAGCAAACAGG
RNAcentral lists this ribosomal RNA (252 nucleotides) under uncultured bacterium. RNAcentral describes it as "partial 16S ribosomal RNA". It matches the Rfam family "Bacterial small subunit ribosomal RNA", at positions 547 to 776 of the family's 1533-position model. The record is from RNAcentral.